ACUCAAAUGGUCAAGUGGAUAAGACGCUUUGAAAUUACAAGUGGUUGAGAUUUUGAAUUUGUAUUUCAAGGAGGCGGGGGUUCGAUUCCCCCUUUGAGUG
Rhodocollybia butyracea is the source of this 100-nucleotide non-coding RNA. NCBI's taxonomy places the organism in Eukaryota, Fungi, Basidiomycota, Agaricomycetes, Agaricales, Omphalotaceae. The record is from the annotation of a GenBank genome assembly.